Long non-coding RNA from Neofelis nebulosa (Clouded leopard), 1333 nucleotides. RefSeq lists it as uncharacterized. NCBI's taxonomy places the organism in Eukaryota, Metazoa, Chordata, Mammalia, Carnivora, Felidae. The transcript has 3 exons. The record is from RefSeq and is a predicted model, not a curated record.
UGCCUUUGGAGGAAGAGUCACAAGAUAGUGUGGCAAGGACACGAUGUGUACCAUCAGCUCCUUCUUCCCAGAGGUCCCUGAGCUUGGACAGGCUGCAGCAAAGGGCACUGCCCAAGGCCAGCCACGAGGACAUCAGGGACGCCACAAAAUCCACAGCCUCUCAGGAUGGCCCCUUGAGCAACCUCAGCAACACUAGCAAUAACCAGGACUCACUGAACAAUGCCCCCAAGAAGAAGGGCAUCACAAAAUCCAUCCGCUGGUUGCUCACCAGAAAACAAAAGGUCCACCCCAGCCACGCUAGCGACGAGCCUGCAUGACCAGUUUACCCACACUGCUUCUCCCGAUGGUCUUGCAGCACGCUGAGCCCAGCAGUGACUACAUUUGAAACUUCAACCAGAUCUUUCAUCUGUUAAUCCUUGUUAUAUGGACCCUGAGAUAUUUUAUUACAGUGUUUGAUUACUGAAAAAUUCGUGAAUAGGAUAGAGAAACUCAUUUAGCAUUUAAUGUUUCGUACAUUUCUGUAAAUUUGUCACUCCCUAUAGAGAGUUCCUGACUUUCAUGUAUAUCCGGGCUAUAAAUAUCCUUUGGAAUCAAUUGAUGUUCUUAUAUCUCAGUUUAGUCUUUCAAAUGAAUGUACUGUCAUGGCUGUAUGUAUGAAUCCUACGACAAAUACGGUCUUUUAUAACCUGUGCAUGUAUUGUAAUUAUCAUUGUUUAAUUGUUUGUUAAGAAACCCUGACAGAGAAAAGGAUUUUACCAUGUUUGUAAAAUCACCGUGACACAGCCUGCAUUAUCCUUUACGAAUGUCCCUUAGCUCUACAACCAUGGUUUUGAUAUAAGCAGACUUAAUUUGCAGCAAUUGUCGCUGUAUUUUAACGACUCACCUUAACUACACUUUUUCUAGCAAGAAAUGCUUUCUUGUGCAGUGUGAAGAGAUUAAAAAUAUCUGGUGUUGACUAUCAGCUAAAGAAACUUGGAGUGGAAAGCUGAUUGAAACACUGUGAAAAUCUCCCAGGGCCGGUAUGCUCUUUCUGAGCCUGGUCCCUGGGGGCCUGGGCGGUUUGCCUGGAGUGACCCGCACAACCUGGGAGCCGAGGCCCCAGAAAGCCUGGGUGGGGCAACCUGGCCACCUCUUCCCCGGAACCCUGCCCACCCCCUUCUCUCCCCCAGCCCGAACCUUAGACCCCUGGCAGCAGAACUCUCAGAGGACCAAUCAGGGUGCACUGGUCUCCCACCUCGGGCCAGGGCGCUGGGUGCUCAGCACAGAGCAAGAUGCAAGAUCCUGGAAACAAUGGAGUGCAACUCUAAUAAAGGCCUUAUUGUUCUUACGGAAA